Molecule: ribosomal RNA, 418 nt
Filed under: uncultured bacterium
Lineage: Bacteria
Description: bacterial SSU rRNA
Rfam family: Bacterial small subunit ribosomal RNA
Source: RNAcentral
UAUUGGUCAAUGGGCGGGAGCCUGAACCAGCCAAGUCGCGUGAGGGAAGACGGUCCUACGGAUCGUAAACCUCUUUUGCCGGGGAGCAACGGGGUCCUUGCGAGGGCUCAAUGAUAGUACCCGGACAAAACGCAACGGCUAACUCCGUGCCAGCAGCCGCGGUAAUACGGAGGAUGCGAGCGUUAUCCGGAUUUAUUGGGUUUAAAGGGUGCGUAGGCGGGCUGUUAAGUCAGCGGUCAAAUGUCGGGGCUCAACCCCGGCCUGCCGUUGAAACUGGCGGCCUCGAGUGGGCGAGAAGUAUGCGGAAUGCGUGGUGUAGCGGUGAAAUGCAUAGAUAUCACGCAGAACUCCGAUUGCAAAGGCAGCAUACCGGCGCCCUACUGACGCUGGGGCACGAAAGCGUGGGUAUCGAACAGGA